UACGUAGGUGGCAAGCGUUGUCCGGAUUUACUGGGCGUAAAGAGCGCGCAGGCGGUCGAAUAAGUCGAAUGUGAAAGCCCCCGGCUUAACUGGGGAGGGUCAUUCGAUACUGUUCGACUUGAAGGCAGGAGAGGGCAGCAGAAUUCCCGGUGUAGUGGUGAAAUGCGUAGAUAUCGGGAGGAAUACCAGUGGCGAAGGCGGCUGCCUGGCCUGUUCUUGACGCUGAGGCGCGAAAGCUGGGGGAGCAAACGGGAUUAGAAACCCCCGUAGUCC
This 273-nucleotide ribosomal RNA is filed under the name uncultured bacterium. RNAcentral describes it as "partial 16S ribosomal RNA". It matches the Rfam family "Bacterial small subunit ribosomal RNA", at positions 524 to 796 of the family's 1533-position model. The record is from RNAcentral.